This 252-nucleotide ribosomal RNA is filed under the name uncultured bacterium. RNAcentral's name for it is "partial 16S ribosomal RNA". It matches the Rfam family "Bacterial small subunit ribosomal RNA", at positions 524 to 776 of the family's 1533-position model. The record is from RNAcentral.
UACAGAGGGUGCGAGCGUUAAUCGGAAUUACUGGGCGUAAAGCGUGCGCAGGCGGUUCGUGAUGUCUGGUGUGAAAGCCCCGGGCUUAACCUGGGAAUUGCAUUGGAAACUAGCGGGCUGGAGUGUGGCAGAGGGGGGUGGAAUUCCACGUGUAGCAGUGAAAUGCGUAGAGAUGUGGAGGAACACGGAUGGCAAAGGCGGCCCCCGGGGCUAACACUGACGCUCAUGCCCGAAAGCGUGGGAGCAAACAGG